GGGGAUAAAGCUCAGUUGGUAGAGUGCUUGCCUUGCAUGCAUGAGGCCCUGGAUUCCAUCCCCA
RNAcentral lists this transfer RNA (64 nucleotides) under Ictidomys tridecemlineatus (thirteen-lined ground squirrel). RNAcentral's name for it is "Spermophilus tridecemlineatus (thirteen-lined ground squirrel) tRNA". It matches the Rfam family "tRNA", at positions 1 to 62 of the family's 71-position model. Rfam says of the family: Transfer RNA (tRNA) molecules are approximately 80 nucleotides in length. Their secondary structure includes four short double-helical elements and three loops (D, anti-codon, and T loops). Lineage: Eukaryota; Metazoa; Chordata; Mammalia; Rodentia; Sciuridae. The record is from Rfam by way of RNAcentral.